AUGGCGUUCACUUGCAAGCGGCCUGCCGCGUUCCUCGACGGCCACGCCAGCCAGCCGGGCGCGAUGUGCCGGAAGAGGAGGUGCGUCGUCGUUGGGACCACCUAUGACUACGACCAAAAGUCGCGCCUCGGCGCAGGCAAGUUCGGCACCGUCGUUAAGGCGCGGUGCCGCGCCACUGGCCAGCUCGUCGCCAUCAAGUCCCUCCACGACCCCGCCGACCCCACGAGGUGCUGCGGGAGGCCCGCUUCCUCGAGGCGUGCGGCGGCCACCCGCACAUCGUCGGCUUCCGCGGCGUCACGCUCGACUACGUAA
This 312-nucleotide ribosomal RNA is filed under the name Triticum aestivum (bread wheat). RNAcentral's name for it is "partial small subunit ribosomal RNA". The record is from RNAcentral. Lineage: Eukaryota; Viridiplantae; Streptophyta; Magnoliopsida; Poales; Poaceae.